CUACUAUGGCCCUCCCUCGCCGUCCUCUGAUACCUCCCCGACGACGCCUGGAGGCGGCAGCGGCGGAUGCAGUGCUCCCCCUUCGCCGUCCAGUGACACCUCCCCAUCGACGCCUGGAGGAGGAGGUGGGUACUACGGGCCCCCUUCACCUUCCAGUGGCACCUCUCCAUCGACGCCUGGAGGUGGUGGUGGCUACUACGGCCCCCCCUCGCCGUCCUCUGGCACCUCCCCGACGACGCCUGGUGGUAGCGGCGGCGGAUGCAGUGCUCCUCCUUCGCCGUCCAGUGACACCUCCCCAUCGACGCCUGGAGGAGGUGCUGGGUACUGCGGGCCCCCUUCACCGUCCAGUGGCACCUCUCCAUCGACGCCUGGAGGUGGUGGCGGCUACUACGGCCCCCCCUCGCCGUCCUCUGACACCACGCCUGGCGGUGGUGGUGGCGGGUACAGUGCUCCCCCUUCACCGUCCAGUGACACCUCUCCAUCGACGCCUGGAGGUGGCGGCGGGUACUAUGGGCCCCCUUCGCCGUCUUCUGGCACCUCUCCGACCACGCCAUCGGCGCCUAGUGGCGGCUACUACGGCCCUCCAUCGCCGUCCAGUGACACUUCACCGACAACUCCCGGAGGCGGUGGCGGCUACUACGGCCCUCCCUCGCCGUCCAGUGACACUUCGCCGACCACUCCAGGCAGCGGUGGCGGCUACUACGGCCCUCCCUCGCCGUCCUCUGACAC
This 729-nucleotide long non-coding RNA is filed under the name Sorghum bicolor (sorghum). RNAcentral's name for it is "long non-coding RNA (SBIC_LNC005666)". Lineage: Eukaryota; Viridiplantae; Streptophyta; Magnoliopsida; Poales; Poaceae. The record is from RNAcentral.